This 1357-nucleotide ribosomal RNA is filed under the name uncultured bacterium. Its description in RNAcentral is "bacterial SSU rRNA". It matches the Rfam family "Bacterial small subunit ribosomal RNA", at positions 28 to 1381 of the family's 1533-position model. The record is from RNAcentral.
AUUGAACGCUGGCGGCAGGCCUAACACAUGCAAGUCGAGCGGUAGAGAGAAGCUUGCUUCUCUUGAGAGCGGCGGACGGGUGAGUAAUGCCUAGGAAUCUUCCUGGUAGUGGGGGAUAACGUUCGGAAACGGACGCUAAUACCGCAUACGUCCUACGGGAGAAAGCAGGGGACCUUCGGGCCUUGCGCUAUCAGAUGAGCCUAGGUCGGAUUAGCUAGUUGGUGAGGUAAUGGCUCACAAAGGCGACGAUCCGUAACUGGUCUGAGAGGAUGAUCAGUCACACUGGAACUGAGACACGGUCCAGACUCCUACGGGAGGCAGCAGUGGGGAAUAUUGGACAAUGGGCGAAAGCCUGAUCCAGCCAUGCCGCGUGUGUGAAGAAGGUCUUCGGAUUGUAAAGCACUUUAAGUUGGGAGGAAGGGUUGUAGAUUAAUACUCUGCAAUUUUGACGUUACCGACAGAAUAAGCACCGGCUAACUCUGUGCCAGCAGCCGCGGUAAUACAGAGGGUGCAAGCGUUAAUCGGAAUUACUGGGCGUAAAGCGCGCGUAGUGGUUUGUUAAGUUGGAUGUGAAAUCCCCGGGCUCAACCUGGGAACUGCAUUCAAAACUGACUGACUAGAGUAUGGUAGAGGGUGGUGGAAUUUCCUGUGUAGCGGUGAAAUGCGUAGAUAUAGGAAGGAACACCAGUGGCGAAGGCGACCACCUGGACUAGUACUGACACUGAGGUGCGAAAGCGUGGGGAGCAAACAGGAUUAGAUACCCUGGUAGUCCACGCCGUAAACGAUGUCAACUAGCCGUUGGAAGCCUUGAGCUUUUAGUGGCGCAGCUAACGCAUUAAGUUGACCGCCUGGGGAGUACGGCCGCAAGGUUAAAACUCAAAUGAAUUGACGGGGGCCCGCACAAGCGGUGGAGCAUGUGGUUUAAUUCGAAGCAACGCGAAGAACCUUACCAGGCCUUGACAUCCAAUGAACUUUCUAGAGAUAGAUUGGUGCCUUCGGGAACAUUGAGACAGGUGCUGCAUGGCUGUCGUCAGCUCGUGUCGUGAGAUGUUGGGUUAAGUCCCGUAACGAGCGCAACCCUUGUCCUUAGUUACCAGCACGUAAUGGUGGGCACUCUAAGGAGACUGCCGGUGACAAACCGGAGGAAGGUGGGGAUGACGUCAGGUCAUCAUGGCCCUUACGGCCUGGGCUACACACGUGCUACAAUGGUCGGUACAGAGGGUUGCCAAGCCGCGAGGUGGAGCUAAUCCCAUAAAACCGAUCGUAGUCCGGAUCGCAGUCUGCAACUCGACUGCGUGAAGUCGGAAUCGCUAGUAAUCGCGAAUCAGAAUGUCGCGGUGAAUACGUUCCCGGGCCU